This 139-nucleotide non-coding RNA is filed under the name Gloeochaete wittrockiana. Lineage: Eukaryota; Glaucocystophyceae; Gloeochaetales; Gloeochaetaceae. The record is from RNAcentral.
GGUGGAGAAACGAACUUUGCAAUUUAUCAAUAACUUCGAUGUCAAUGGAGGAAUGAAGGCAGGGGCAAACUUUACCGAGACAGUAGAUGUGGUGAAGCCCUUAGUGGCAGUGAAACCUUCUAAUGCAAUCAUCGUUCGA